RNAcentral lists this ribosomal RNA (844 nucleotides) under Ligilactobacillus salivarius. RNAcentral describes it as "bacterial SSU rRNA". It matches the Rfam family "Bacterial small subunit ribosomal RNA". Lineage: Bacteria; Bacillati; Bacillota; Bacilli; Lactobacillales; Lactobacillaceae. The record is from RNAcentral.
CCGGCGGCUAAUACAUGCAAGUCGAACGAAACUUUCUUACACCGCAAUGCUUGCAUUCACCGUAAGAAGUUUAGUGGCGGACGGGUGAGUAACACGUGGGUAACCUGCCUAAAAGAAGGGGAUAACACUUGGAAACAGGUGCUAAUACCGUAUAUCUCUAAAGAUCGCAUGAUCCUUAGAUGAAAGAUGGUUCUGCUAUCGCUUUUAGAUGGACCCGCGGCGUAUUAACUAGUUGGUGGGGUAACGGCCUACCAAGGUGAUGAUACGUAGCCGAACUGAGAGGUUGAUCGGCCACAUUGGGACUGAGACACGGCCCAAACUCCUACGGGAGGCAGCAGUAGGGAAUCUUCCACAAUGGACGCAAGUCUGAUGGAGCAACGCCGCGUGAGUGAAGAAGGUCUUCGGAUCGUAAAACUCUGUUGUUAGAGAAGAACACGAGUGAGAGUAACUGUUCAUUCGAUGACGGUAUCUAACCAGCAAGUCACGGCUAACUACGUGCCAGCAGCCGCGGUAAUACGUAGGUGGCAAGCGUUGUCCGGAUUUAUUGGGCGUAAAGGGAACGCAGGCGGCCUUUUAAGUCUGAUGUGAAAGCCCUCGGCUUCACCGGAGUAGUGCAUUGGAAACUGGAAGACUUGACGUGCACAACAGGACAGUGGAACUCCAUGUGUAGCGGUGAAAUGUGUACACAUAUGGCAAGAACCCCAUUGUCGAAAGCUUGCUCUCUGGUCGCUAACCUCACCUCUUUAAGUUNCCCAAAGCCCCGGGCCAUUAUAAUANGUACUUACAAUACCUCCGGGGUAGUUCCCACCCCGUUAAACCCAUUGAAAUGCUUCUGUUGUUUGGC